AUGUGCCGGUGCCUGUAUGAGGACCCCAGGCUUCACCAUGGCUCCUGCCAUACCCUCAACCACGACCACCCACGCCUUGGAGGCCAGCAGGUAGACUCGGCCCCGAAGGGGCAGCCGUGGCAAGAGCACCACUCAGCCACGACCGGAAGGGCAGGAGGAGACGGCUCCUCACCCCUCCCUUUCUCUUUUGUCCACCCACACCGCUUCUCAGAGAGCCAAGCCGCCCCCACCCUCUUCCCCCUGGUCUCCUGUGAGAACUCCUUGCUGGAGCAGAGCAAAGUGACAGUUGGCUGCCUGGCGCGGGACUUCCUGCCCGACUCCCUGUCCUUCUCCUGGAAGUACAAGAACCAAUCAGAUGUCAGAAGCGUGCAGAACUUCCCGCCCAUCCUGAAGAAGAAUGGCAAGUACAUGGCCACCUCGCAGGUGUGGCUGCCCUCCCAGGAUGUCCUGCAGGGAACAGAUGACCACCUGGUGUGCAAAGUCAAGCACAACAAUGGCAAUAAGGACCUGAACGUGCCUCUCCCAGCGAUUGAGGAGCAGGCCCCCAACGUGAGCAUGUUUGUCCCGGAUCGCAACGCCUUCCAUGGCUCCCCCCGCAAGUCCAGUCUCAUCUGCCAGGCCACAGACUUCAGCCCCCAGCAGAUCAAGGUGUCCUGGCUACGUGACGGGAGGCAGGUGGAGUCUGGUGUCACCACAGACCCCGUGAAAGCUGAGGUCAAGGGGUCUGGGCCCAAGACCUUCAAGGUUACCAGUACGCUGACUGUGAGUGAGAGUGACUGGGUCAGUCAGAAAAUGUUCACCUGCCGUGUGGAUCACAGGGGUCUGGUCUUCCAGAAGAACGUGUCCUCCGUGUGCAACGUCGGUCCAUCCCCUGGUAUCCAGGUCUUUGCCGUGCCCCCCUCCUUUGCCAGCAUCUUCCUCACCAAGUCCACCAAGCUGACCUGCCUGGUCACCGACCUGACCACCUACGACAGCCUAAACAUCUCCUGGACCCGCCAGAGCGGCGAGAUGCUGCUGACUCACAUGAGCAUCUCCGAGAGCCACCCCAAUGGCACGUUCAGCGCUAUGGGCGAGGCCAGUAUCUGUGAGGACGACUGGAACUCAGGGGAGCGGUUCACAUGCACUGUGCGCCACACGGACCUGCCCUCACCAAUCAAGCAGGACGUCUCCAGGACCAAGGGGAUGGCCCAGCAUAAGCCCGAGGUGUACCUGCUGCCGCCGCCCCGGGAGGAGCUGAGUCAGCAGGAGUUGGCCACCAUCACCUGCCUGGUGAAGGGCUUCUCCCCGGUAGAUGUGUUUGUGCAGUGGAUGCAGAGGGGGCAGCCGUUGUCCCCCGACAAGUACGUGACCAGCACACCGGCCCCUGAGCCCCAGGUCCCAGGCCUGUUCUUCACCCACAGCACACUGACCGUGUCCGAGGAAGACUGGAACAGAGGGGACAGCUUCACCUGCGUCGUGGGCCAUGAGGCUCUGCCCAACAAGGUCACCGAGAGGACCGUGGACAAGUCCACCGAGGGGGAAGUGAGCGCAGAGGAGGAGGGCUUCGAGAACCUGUGGGCCACCGCCUCCACCUUCAUCGUGCUCUUCCUCCUGAGCCUCUUCUACAGCACCACGGUCACCCUGUUCAAGGUAGAGCAGCAGGUGCAGGGGGAGGCCGCAGGGACGUCAGACCCAGGGCCUGGCACGGCCACCCUCCGUCACCACUGCCCCCGGCUCCUGUCCCCACCUCACAUCACCACCGUCGCCAGUGAAGUGACCACCCAACCGAGGGACAUCAGAGACCAAAGGAACGGAAGCAGGAGGGCUGCCUGCGGGCUGGGGCCCAACCCGUGUGGCCUUCUGGCUUGUGCUUAG
This is a non-coding RNA of Carlito syrichta (Philippine tarsier), 1854 nucleotides long. The record is from the annotation of a RefSeq genome assembly. Lineage: Eukaryota; Metazoa; Chordata; Mammalia; Primates; Tarsiidae.